Molecule: transfer RNA, 63 nt
Filed under: Hybomitra bimaculata
Lineage: Eukaryota; Metazoa; Arthropoda; Insecta; Diptera; Tabanidae
Also listed under: 6 other names
Description: tRNA-Ala
Rfam family: tRNA
About the family: Transfer RNA (tRNA) molecules are approximately 80 nucleotides in length.
Source: RNAcentral
AGGGUUGUAGUUAAUUAUAACAUUUGAUUUGCAUUCAAAAAGUAUUGAAGAUAUUCAAUCUUC